RNAcentral lists this ribosomal RNA (364 nucleotides) under uncultured bacterium. RNAcentral's name for it is "bacterial SSU rRNA". It matches the Rfam family "Bacterial small subunit ribosomal RNA", at positions 1047 to 1407 of the family's 1533-position model. The record is from RNAcentral.
GGCUGUCGUCAGCUCGUGUCGUGAGAUGUUGGGUUAAGUCCCGCAACGAGCGCAAACCUAUGUCCUGUUGCCACUUCCGCGAAAGCGGGAAGCACUCUGGACAGACUGCCUCGCUUAAACGAGGAGGAAGGUGGGGAUGACGUCAAGUCAGUAUGGCCCUUACGGCCAGGGCUGCACACGUUACAAUGCCCGGCACAAAGGGAAGCGAGACCGCAAGGUGGAGCAAAUCCCCAAAAACCGGGCCCAGUUCAGAUUGUCGUCUGCAACUCGACGGCAUGAAGCUGGAAUCGCUAGUAAUGGCGCAUCAGCUACGGCGCCGUGAAUACGUUCCCAGGCCUUGUACACACCGCCCGUCACAUCAUGA